RNAcentral lists this ribosomal RNA (465 nucleotides) under uncultured bacterium. RNAcentral's name for it is "partial 16S ribosomal RNA". It matches the Rfam family "Bacterial small subunit ribosomal RNA", at positions 28 to 507 of the family's 1533-position model. The record is from RNAcentral.
GAUGAACGCUGGCGGCGUGCUUAACACAUGCCAGUCGAACGGAAAGGCUCCUGCUUGCCGGGGUACUCGAGUGGCGAACGGGUGAGUAACACGUGGGUGAUCUGCCCUGCACUUCGGGAUAAGCCUGGGAAACUGGGUCUAAUACCGGAUAGGACCACAUUUUGGAUGGUGUGGUGGAAAGUUUUUCGGUGUGGGAUGAGCUCGCGGCCUAUCAGCUUGUUGGUGGGGUAAUGGCCUACCAAGGCGUCGACGGGUAGCCGGCCUGAGAGGGUGUACGGCCACAUUGGGACUGAGAUACGGCCCAGACUCCUACGGGAGGCAGCAGUGGGGAAUAUUGCACAAUGGGCGCAAGCCUGAUGCAGCGACGCCGCGUGGGGGAUGACGGCCUUCGGGUUGUAAACUCCUUUCGCUAGGGACGAAGCGCAAGUGACGGUACCUGGAGAAGAAGCGCCGGCUAACUACGUG